RNAcentral lists this ribosomal RNA (385 nucleotides) under uncultured bacterium. RNAcentral describes it as "bacterial SSU rRNA". It matches the Rfam family "Bacterial small subunit ribosomal RNA", at positions 30 to 416 of the family's 1533-position model. The record is from RNAcentral.
AUUGAACGCUGGCGGCAUGCCUUACACAUGCAAGUCGAACGGCAGCGGACCUUCGGGUGCCGGCGAGUGGCGAACGGGUGAGUAAUAUAUCGGAACGUACCUUUCAGUGGGGGAUAACGUAGCGAAAGUUACGCUAAUACCGCAUAUUCUGUGAGCAGGAAAGCAGGGGGAUCGCAAGACCUUGCGCUGAUUGAGCGGCCGAUAUCAGAUUAGCUAGUUGGUGAGGUAAAGGCUCACCAAGGCGACGAUCUGUAGCGGGUCUGAGAGGAUGAUCCGCCGCACUGGAACUGAGACACGGUCCAGACUCCUACGGGAGGCAGCAGUGGGGAAUUUUGGACAAUGGGCGCAAGCCUGAUCCAGCCAUGCCGCGUGAGUGAAGAAGGCC